CUGAACUCCAAGUUUCAACUGUUUUUCCCAAGCACUAUUUUGAAUCACCCACACGCGCAUUCGUUCCACCAAUUCAUAUAUAUAGGGGAGGGAUCCAUAGAGAAUACCACCCUACUAGAGAAUGAAGAAUAAUUCCCUAGCGUUAGAUCAAUCACAUCCUACGGAUCAGAUAAAACCGAAUUAUAAAAAAAAUGCGUUUUUAAAUACUGAAUUAAUUACUCCCGGAAGAGAAAGGGUUUAAAGGGAAUUUUACACAUCAGUAAAUCUUGAAUAUUCAAUGGAAUCCCUAUUUUCACUCGUCCACUUCUCCUAUUCACGGUUAAUCUAGAGGAAAUUAGAAUCUCAAAAGACAAAAAUCAAAUCUUCAGCCACCGUUCGUUUUCGUAGAAACAAUAUUGACGAAUCGAAGAAAAUUUGGAGAAAAACUUCGUCUUUGCUGCGGAACAAAAGAAGAUCGAAGAAGAUCUUGACAGAAGCAGAAAUCUUGAAGCAGCUGCAAUGGUCGAUGGAAUCGACGAAGGAUAGUUCUACUUGCGCUACUUGAGUUGAGGAGAGUUAUGUAGCAUUUUAGUGUGCUGCAUUAGGUUGUAAAAUUACUGAAAGAUUAUUCAAAUUUUAACCCAAUUUGAUUUUACUAUGUUUGUUCAUUGUUAUGUUGGUUUGUUCUUAUUAAUGUUCUGAAUAUCAUAUUCA
Long non-coding RNA from Salvia miltiorrhiza (redroot sage), 693 nucleotides. RefSeq lists it as uncharacterized. The record is from RefSeq and is a predicted model, not a curated record. The transcript is spliced from 2 exons. Lineage: Eukaryota; Viridiplantae; Streptophyta; Magnoliopsida; Lamiales; Lamiaceae.